Molecule: ribosomal RNA, 468 nt
Filed under: uncultured bacterium
Lineage: Bacteria
Description: partial 16S ribosomal RNA
Rfam family: Bacterial small subunit ribosomal RNA
Source: RNAcentral
GAUGAACGCUGGCGGCGUGCUUAACACAUGCAAGUCGAACGGAAAGGCCGAAGCUUGCUUCGGUACUCGAGUGGCGAACGGGUGAGUAACACGUGGGUGAUCUGCCCUGUACUUCGGGAUAAGCUUGGGAAACUGGGUCUAAUACCGGAUAUGACGAUCUCUUGGAUGGGGUUGUGGAAAGCUUUUGCGGUAUGGGAUGAGCUCGCGGCCUAUCAGCUUGUUGGUGGGGUAAUGGCCUACCAAGGCGUCGACGGGUAGCCGGCCUGAGAGGGUGUACGGCCACAUUGGGACUGAGAUACGGCCCAGACUCCUACGGGAGGCAGUAGUGGGGAAUAUUGCACAAUGGGCGCAAGCCUGAUGCAGCGACGCCGCGUGGGGGAUGACGGCCUUCGGGUUGUAAACUCCUUUCGCAAUCGACGAAGCCUUUCGGUGACGGUAGGUUGAGAAGAAGCACCGGCUAACUACGUG